GGAGUAGCUCAGUUGGUAGAGCACCGGUCUCCAAAACCGGGUGUCGCAGGUGAGAACUGCCUGUGGCAGUUCGCAAGGGAGACCACUCUUGCAAACUGGUUUGCAAAGAUGUGGCGACGGGGUCGCGGAACGUGACCAAGUCCUGCCAGAUUUG
RNAcentral lists this transfer RNA (154 nucleotides) under Candidatus Saccharimonadota bacterium. RNAcentral describes it as "tRNA-Trp". The stretch from base 1 to 68 matches the Rfam family "tRNA". Lineage: Bacteria; Candidatus Saccharimonadota. The record is from RNAcentral.